UCUCUGAUGAUGGAAUGUUAAAAAGAAUAAAAAGAUACAUGUGAUAUGAGAACCAUAACCACUUAUAUAGACAACUUUUUCUAUUGUCUUUAGGUAUUCUUAUUUCAAAUCAUCAUAGAAAUAAAAAUUACCCUUAAAUCUCUACACAUUAAAAGUCCUCACCCUAUCAAAUACAUUGAAGCUCAUAUUGUCAUAAACCUUACUAAAUCACUUUUAAUUGGACUUAACCUUAUAUGAUAGUCUGCAGCACAUAAUUAUUCCUAUAUAAUGUUAAAAAUAGGGUUUGACCAUGCGGUGAACAGUAACACAGUUUGAUCAUGCGGUGAAUAGUAACACGGUUUGACCAUGCGGUGAGUAGUAACACAGUUUGACCAAGCGGCUUGAACAGUAACAUUGUUUGAAUAGUGUUAUCCAUUUGGUUAUAAAUAAGAGAGCCUUUCAUAAGUUUUAUCAUCCAAAGAAUUCAUUUCCUCUUGUAAUUAGAGAGAAUUAGAGAGUUGAAUAUAAUUACUCUUAAAUUGAGAGUUUUGGGUGUAUUUGGGACUUGGGUGAGAGAAAAUUAUUUCUAAGAGUGUGGUUGUAAUAAUUUUUCACAUAGUGAAUAUUUUUCUCUGGUUGUUUUUUUGACAACGACCGUAGUUUUUCUCUGGAUUUGGAGUUUUCCACGUAAAUCUUGUGAUGUGUGAUUUGUGUAUUCUUCAUUUAAUUUUUCUAUUAAUUUGUUGCUUGACAAAUUGCUUGGAGUAAUCUUGGGAGGAAGUUCAAUUUCCUAACUAUAAGCCCAAUAUUGAAGUGACUCUCAUUUAAUAAUUAAUAAAGAUACAACUAAAUAGAUUUAAUUGUUGUGGUGGAGGAAGAGUGGUGUCUAAGCCUCUAAGGUUCCGCACAUUGAGAAGAGAUCUUGCGACGAAACACAUUUCAUUUUACUUUGUUAAUUAACCUCUUUUUGUUGUAUAAUCAAUGCUCUAAAAAUCAUAACCAAUUUAAACCAAGUUCAAAAUGCCAAACCGAUAAACAAUAUCUGUCGAAUCUAAUGGAGCCAAAUAGAAUAUAUGAAUGUAUAUGCAUGUGAUCAUUCUCUAGAAGCAACCUAAAUAAUAGACAUUUCAAUUUUCCAAACAAGCGUGACUAUUUUCACUAACAAUUAAUGGAGAUAGGUGAGGAGUCCGGAUUGGAAAUAUGGGGGCCAAGAGUUAAAGGAGUAAACAUUUUUGGGGUCAAAAUCCAAAAAAAAAAAAGUAUAUUGGCAUUAGACUGAAAUGUGAAAUUUGUUAAAGCUUACAAGCGUCAAAUUAUUGAAACAAUUCUAUAUUGAUAUUUAAAGUCAUAAUCAAAACCGUAUAUGAAUUAAAUUUUGUUUUCUUACGUAUCUCUCGGACCGUGCAUGAGGUUAUGCAGUCCUGAUUUAAAAGGAAAAAUUGUUUCACAUCCAACAUAAUUCAAUUAAUUACUUGUAAAGUUUAUAUAUUGAAACACUACAGCCCAGCCCAAUUAGUUGACCUUUUGUAGUAGGGGUGGGCAAAAUCGGGNN
Molecule: long non-coding RNA, 1531 nt
Filed under: Citrus x clementina
Lineage: Eukaryota; Viridiplantae; Streptophyta; Magnoliopsida; Sapindales; Rutaceae
Description: Citrus clementina (C. clementina) long non-coding RNA (CCLE_LNC003914)
Source: RNAcentral